AUUGAACGCUGGCGGCAGGCUUAACACAUGCAAGUCGAGCGGGGUGAUGGUGCUUGCACUAUCACUUAGCGGCGGACGGGUGAGUAAUGCUUAGGAAUCUGCCUAUUAGUGGGGGACAACAUCUCGAAAGGGAUGCUAAUACCGCAUACGUCCUACGGGAGAAAGCAGGGGAUCACUUGUGACCUUGCGCUAAUAGAUGAGCCUAAGUCGGAUUAGCUAGUUGGUGGGGUAAAGGCUUACCAAGGCGACGAUCUGUAGCGGGUCCGAGAGGAUGAUCCGCCACACUGGGACUGAGACACGGCCCAGACUCCUACGGGAGGCAGCAGUGGGGAAUAUUGGACAAUGGGGGGAACCCUGAUCCAGCCAUGCCGCGUGUGUGAAGAAGGCCUUAUGGUUGUAAAGCACUUUAAGCGAGGAGGAGGCUCUUUUGGUUAAUACCCAAGAUGAGUGGACGUUACUCGCAGAAUAAGCACCGGCUAACUCUGUGCCAGCCGCCGCGGUAA
Molecule: ribosomal RNA, 503 nt
Filed under: uncultured bacterium
Lineage: Bacteria
Description: partial 16S ribosomal RNA
Rfam family: Bacterial small subunit ribosomal RNA
Source: RNAcentral